This is a non-coding RNA of Caenorhabditis tropicalis, 72 nucleotides long. Lineage: Eukaryota; Metazoa; Nematoda; Chromadorea; Rhabditida; Rhabditidae. The record is from Rfam.
GGUCGGAUGGUCUAGUGGUAUGAUUCUCGCUUAGGGUGCGAGAGGUCCCGGGAUCAAACCCCGGUCCGGCCC